RNAcentral lists this long non-coding RNA (4678 nucleotides) under Octopus vulgaris (common octopus). Lineage: Eukaryota; Metazoa; Mollusca; Cephalopoda; Octopoda; Octopodidae. The record is from RNAcentral.
ACUUGUUUAUGAAUGUAUAUUUUAAAUAAUUUAAUUUAAAAAUAAAAAAAAAUGUUUAACUUCAUACCUAGUAUUUUACAUCCUACCAAAAACAAAAGCAAAGACAGAGAAACACAGACCUCCCGAUCUUAGGUGGAAUUAAAAAGAAAAAGCUAUUCAUUUUAUGUUUCUAACACAGAUUUGGAUGAAUAUGGAAUUAUUAUGGUUUUUGCUUUUUUAAAGCUGUAUUUAGCUUAGCUUUGCUGCUAUAUGUGGCAUGCUAACUGAAAAGGAUAUUACAUUUUAAAAAAAUGAAUUUGAUAGCUAAUAAAAGUUUUGAAUAUAAAAUCUAUAACUUGAUGUUUCAGUAUUAUUAAGAUACAUUUUAUAUGUAAAUUUCAAGUGCAAUGUAUGAUUGUGAAGCUGAUGUUGGAUAUGCAUGGUUACCUCCCUUGAUACAAAAAAACCCCCAACGAGGAUAAAAAAAAAAAAUCGAAAGCAAUUCGGUUUUGGCUUAUCCUGUCAUUUAUAUUUACUUACAUAAUUGAUCUAAUAUUAAAUUUUAGAAAUUGUUCUUUUUUUUUUAUGUGCCUGCAACUAUUUCAUAACUUUUUUUUUUUUUUUUAACUUUCACUGUUAGGCUUUGAGAGAAUUAUUUUGUUGACAAGAUCUAGGACUACAUCCCAUUCUAGAAGAAAUUUUUAUGUCACCUGAUAGCUGAUAAUGUUAAUAUAUUGGCAGAUAUUACUCGUCUCAAACCUCCAUUCUUUUUGCCAUCAUUAUGUAACAAUAUAUUUGAUUGUGUUUUAGUUUUAUUUAUAUUUUUUUUUUUUGGUUUCAUAUAGCUGCUUCAUUUCAGUUCCUAUCACCAUAUUUAUACAUCUUCAUAGAAUGAACCCAAAACUUACAAAAACAUUAAUUUAAUGAAAGCAUAAUUGUUUUUCUAUUUCAUUUCCAUUCAUUUGUUUUAUCAUUGUGUAAUACUGACUUAACUACAUAAUUUGUUAAGCAUUAUACCCCACCCACCUCUACUUAAUCAACUGCUUGCAUAAACUUCUAGAGUUGAGAGAAUUUAUUUUUUUUACUUAAAAAUAUUUUUUUUCAGAUAUAUAUAUAUAUAUAUAUAAAUAUCUUUGAAUGCUUAGUUUCAUCUAUUUCUAAUUUUAUGCUGAGAGACAAUCCACAUAUGGUCACCGCUAUUAUUGCUACUAAAGACCACCACUGCCCUCAUUUGCUCGUCUAAUUUCUCUGCACAUCUAUUUUUUCAUUUAUAACUCAGACUGAAUGAAGUACUGUGCUGUAGAAUUUGCAUUAGAUAGAAAUAAAACAAAUAUCUAUUAAAGUAUAUGUUGAGAGCAGGUCAGUUGGGUGCCAUGAGGCAGAUGUUGUAUGGUACUGUUGUAUGGCAGAUGUAUGGUACUAGUUGUUUCAGUCUGCACAGUUCCUCCAAAGGAACUCUUUGCCACCAGUUGUCUGUGGUAGCAGGAAUGUUAUUAGGGCAGUUUUGACCUUAAUAUAAUGCAUUUCAAAUAAUGUUUAGUAAGGUCUUAAAACUUAAUCCAUUUUUGAUUUGUAACAGUGCAUAUUAAUUGUGCGUUUAGUCAUAUAUAAAUUUUAGUGAAUAAUGAAGAUUUUGUUUCCUGUUGAUGAAAUGCAUAUUUUCAGAGAAAAUAUCUAUUUGAUAGAACUAAUUCAGUUGUCUUUAGAUAAACGAAGCUGUUACGAUUUGAAGCAACAAACUUUGUUGUGUAACUUUCUACAAUAGGUACAAGACCAGCAAUUUUGAGUAAAGGUGUUAAGUUGAUACUUUGAUCUCAGAACUCGACUGGUGUUCUAUUUUAUUGAUGACGACGCCCCCCACCUCUUCUUCCCCUGGAGUGAUGAAAGGCAAAGUUGACCUUUGCAAGGUUUGAAACCAAAGCAUAAAGAACUAGAAACUAUUCUAUAUAAUGCAGACAGUAGCGUCCUAAGAAAGCUCAUAGAGAUUUGUAGAUUAUACAUAUAUAAUCUGAUAUUUCAGUCAUAUCAAGCUUUGUGGGUUAUCACAUGGGUCUUUGUUUUAUAAAUAAUAUAUUUUUUUUUAUAAUUGGCAGAAGGCCAGUGAUUUUUAGGGGGAAAAGUGGGUUAGUCAAUCACAUUGACCUCCCCAGUACUUGUACUUUAUUUUAUCAGUUCCAGAAAAGAUUAAAAGCAAAGUUAAACUCAGUGUAUCCGCCAAAACGCUAGGCAGCAUUUCUUCCGGUUCUUUAUGUUGUAACGAUUCUGCCAGUUCACCACCACUAUGACAACAAUAAUAAUAAUGAUAAUGAUAAUUUUAUUUUUAAACUUGAGAACUUUGUAAGAUUCUCUCUAACUAGACAUAUCAUUUAAUGUGUUGAAUUCAGCAACAGCUGUGUUCUUUGUAAGCAUGGGUUUUAUGUUAGCCCAACAGUUUUGCAAAAGAGUACCAUAGUCAUUAAGUAGAAGUCAGUGUUGUUAGCCAAUGAAACAUUUGCUAAUUGUUUGACUGAGUAGUAAGGCUAACUUCAGCAUUACAAUAACAAUAUUGCUAAACACCUGAGUAAUUAAUUAGCUAUUAUUUAUGGACAAUUUUCUAUAUUUUAUUACUAGUCCCUAUGUUUUUUUUUAAUUAUACCGUUUUAUUUUUAUCUAGAACAUUCCAUUCUAAUAUAUUCCACUAUUGUACAGCUAUUUUAAUGAAGCUUUACAAUUAAUUCUAGAAUGUUUUAUAUUUACAUUAGAAAGAUUAUCUUACAAGGAAACAACUCAAAGGUAACAAAAAAGAAAAAAAAAAUAAUUGUAAUUAUAUCUUGAAUUAUUAUUUUCUAUAUGUAUUGAGAAUUUCUUUUUUUGAGAUUUAAUAAAGAACAUGAUGCCUAAGGAAAAAUAAUAAAAAAAAUAAUAAAAAAUUAUAAAACUUGGUUUUACACUAACUUGAUACUUAUUGUAUCAUUAAAUAAAAGAGAAAGCAAAACUAUGAAUUAUACAGAGAUUUGUAAACCUGUUGGAUUAUUGGGGCACCACUGCUGGUCUAAUCUUGUAUUGAGAAAAUAUACCUGUCUAUUUUACAAUAUUUUUACCUUGUGGUUAUUAUUUACAGCUAAGUAAACUGGGACCAGGCCACUUGAAAAUAAGGUGUUUUGGCCAUGAACUGCUAGCCUUAGUAAUUGGUAGUCUUGUAGCAGUUUCAGCCAGCUAUAAUCUUGAAAGUAUUUAAGCUGGGCAGAGAGAGGGGUGGGGUGGUCACAGCAUUAAUGAAUAUUUUACGAAUUUAGACGGUUAAAACUGUUUAGAUAUUAAAGGCAUGUGAAAGGGUUUAUUUUGCUAAUUACUCAACAAAUUGAAACAAAAUUUCAUUCGUCCCUCAAAUUAAUAUUUCUCUAUAAACCAGGCUCGAAGCUUGCUGCCUCCUUUUAAAAGGAAUUGGGAAGUUGUUGCAUUUGAUAUUCCUCACAAGUAUUUACUAGCAUCAUAGAAGAAGUAACUCCAAACAGGAGUUGAAGCUGGUUUUGUCUUUGAUGGCCAUGAGCUUUACUCUUCACUUUCCUGAGUAGGAUGUGAGCUUCUGUGUAGCUGUCCAACUUGAUGGAAAUAACCACCAAAUUCCUUGUUCAAAUCAUUCUAUACUGUAUCAUAUUGAAAACAGGAAGGACAAAAUUGAAUAAUGUAGUCCCAAAUAGUAUCUGAAAAUGAGAUGGGAUGGUCAUGGUUGGACCAUAGUUGAUGGGUUGAACAACUGAAUUUGAUUUUGAUGUUGCAGAUUCUUCAACCCUUUAGCGUUUAAACUGACCGUAUCCAACCAAAAUAUUCUAUCCGUUUUAUGGUCAAACUGGCCAGAUCAAGCUGCUCGCAGUUACCCUACAAAGUCAUUUUAAAAGUAAACAAUCAUAUCAUUGAAAUCUCAAAGCUAUGAGAUAAUGCAUGAUUAAUUCAAAGCAAUAUGAAUAAAUAAGUAUUACAUUUGACAGAACAACCUGAAUGCUAAACAAUUAAGCAACAGCCACAAAUCUGAUGGGUGAUAGUGUCUAACUUGUUUAGUGUUUAGCACUAUGAAACUUGAGUUCUUGUCUCUUCACUCACUCAUCCUAGUUAUGCUUUUGACAUCACUAUGUUGCUAACCACCCUCCUGGUCAUGUCUUGAGUAAAUAUACCAAAGACUUAGUGAGUCUUACAGAGCAGAAAACAAUUCUCACAACAAAUGCUUGUGCCAUGAUAAAAAGAAGAAGCAUCUAGUACACUCUGUAAAUGUGUUGAUGAACGAGUUUGAGAUGAUGCAGAGUCAAGAGGACUCUUUGGUCUUAUUUGGGGACGUCCCAACUUCAACACUGCUGGUACAGUAAUAAAAUGCAUUCAGUACAUUCUGCAAAGUGGUUGAUGCUUAGAAAGGCGUCCAGCUGUAGAAACCAUGCCAAAAAAUUAAACAUACAAUAGAGACAUGAAUCUCUGACCUGUGACAACACCCAACCAAUCCACGCCAACAUGGAAAAUAAAUGUAAAAUGAUAAUUGAAAAAUGAGUGUUAUUUUCACACAAGUCUGCCAUUUGACCUGCCCAUUUUGGAUGUCUAAAACAGGCUGAAUUACUAUGUAUUAUAAAUGAAAGAGGGAAAAAAGAAAAAAGAAAAAAAAAAAAAUGUAAAUUGUGUUUUUAUUCAUUUCAUACCUGAGCAUGAAUUAAAUCUUUUUUCACGUCACACUCAA